UCUACACAAAUAUUCCAAAUU
Molecule: non-coding RNA, 21 nt
Filed under: Caenorhabditis elegans
Lineage: Eukaryota; Metazoa; Nematoda; Chromadorea; Rhabditida; Rhabditidae
Source: RNAcentral